This 700-nucleotide ribosomal RNA is filed under the name uncultured bacterium. Its description in RNAcentral is "bacterial SSU rRNA". It matches the Rfam family "Bacterial small subunit ribosomal RNA", at positions 94 to 823 of the family's 1533-position model. The record is from RNAcentral.
AGUGGCGGACGGGUGAGUAACACGUAAGAAUUUGCCUUUAGGAGGGGGACAACAACUGGAAACGGUUGCUAAUACCCCAUAUGCUUUCGAGUGAAACGGAUUUUUCCGCCUAAAGAGAAGCUUGCGGCUGAUUAGCUUGUUGGUGAGGUAAUGGCUCACCAAGGCGACGAUCAGUAUCUGGUUUGAGAGGACGAUCAGACACACUGGAACUGAGACACGGUCCAGACUCCUACGGGAGGCAGCAGUGGGGAAUUUUCCGCAAUGGGCGAAAGCCUGACGGAGCAAUACCGCGUGAGGGAUGAAGGCCUAUGGGUUGUAAACCUCUUUUUUCAGGGAGGAACAAAAUGACGUGUACCUGAAGAAUAAGCAUCGGCUAACUCCGUGCCAGCAGCCGCGGUAAGACGGGGGAUGCAAGUGUUAUCCGGAAUCACUGGGCGUAAAGCGUCUGUAGGUGGUUAAGUAAGUCAACUGUUAAAUCUUGAGGCUUAACCUCAAAAUCGCAGUCGAAACUGCUUGACUAGAGUAUAGUAGGGGUAAAGGGAAUUUCCAGUGGAGCGGUGAAAUGCGUAGAUAUUGGAAAGAACACCGAUGGCGAAGGCACUUUACUGGGCUAUUACUAACACUGAGAGACGAAAGCUAGGGUAGCAAAUGGGAUUAGAUACCCCAGUAGUCCUAGCUGUAAACAAUGGAUACUAGAUGU